UACGUAGGGUGCAAGCGUUGUCCGGAAUUAUUGGGCGUAAAGAGCUCGUAGGCGGUCUGUCGCGUCUACUGUGAAAACUCGGGGCUUAACCCCGGGCCUGCAGUGGGUACGGGCAGACUAGAGUGCGGUAGGGGAGACUGGAAUUCCUGGUGUAGCGGCGAAAUGCGCAGAUAUCAGGAGGAACACCGGUGGCGAAGGCGGGUCUCUGGGCCGUAACUGACGCUGAGGAGCGAAAGCAUGGGGAGCGAACAGG
Molecule: ribosomal RNA, 253 nt
Filed under: uncultured bacterium
Lineage: Bacteria
Description: partial 16S ribosomal RNA
Rfam family: Bacterial small subunit ribosomal RNA
Source: RNAcentral